UUCUUGAGCUGGUGAACUCAGAUUGAAGUUCUGAACAAAUUUCAUGAAGAGAUCGAAGAGAGUAGUUGAAGUUUUUAUGUGGAACGGAGCUCUCGCCGGAUUCUGGAAUUUUUCCGGCCACCGAGACUUUCGAUCAUGAUAUCUCUAGUUUUAGAGCAUCUUUUUGAUUGAUUCUUGAACCAGUGAGUUCACCUUGAAGUUCUUAACAACUCUCCAGAAGGGAUCGAGGCCUGAUAUUGAAGUUUUUACGUCGAAAUCGAGCUCGCCGUUUCUGCAUUUCCUUGCCGGUUUCUGGAAAAUUUCCGGCCACCUCGACUGUUCUAGGUGAUUGACGGUCUUCCUUGGUGAGCGGUUUUGGUGUGUAUUGUGAAAUUGAAGACGCAGCGGGAUUAGAGUGGAGAUGCUGCACGGCGGGUAAUCCUACAGGUCAGGAGAAUCGAGAAGGUGAUCAGGCUGCUUAGAGUAGUGGUAUUUGAGUUACAGCUUUAUUGUGAGGUUGUUAUGCACAUUGAGCUUACAUUUAAAUUUGGGGAGAGUGUGUUGUAAUAUUAAACUCUUGAGGAUUUGGUUUAUGUAUUAACGAGUGAGGCGAGGUGUGUUUAUUUCUGAGAAAAAAAUUCAG
This 622-nucleotide long non-coding RNA is filed under the name Rosa chinensis. RNAcentral describes it as "sRNA RchiOBHm_Chr1g0354431". Lineage: Eukaryota; Viridiplantae; Streptophyta; Magnoliopsida; Rosales; Rosaceae. The record is from RNAcentral.